AUUUUUGCCGGUUGUUCAAAUAUGCCCCAAGUCUCGGGGUUUACCGGCCCAGAGUUUGAAUCUGGCUCAGGACGAACGCUGGCGGCGUGCUUAACACAUGCAAGUCGAACGAUGAACCACUUCGGUGGGGAUUAGUGGCGAACGGGUGAGUAACACGUGGGCAAUCUGCCCUGCACUCUGGGACAAGCCCUGGAAACGGGGUCUAAUACCGGAUACUGAUCCUCGCAGGCAUCUGCGAGGUUCGAAAGCUCCGGCGGUGCAGGAUGAGCCCGCGGCCUAUCAGCUAGUUGGUGAGGUAACGGCUCACCAAGGCGACGACGGGUAGCCGGCCUGAGAGGGCGACCGGCCACACUGGGACUGAGACACGGCCCAGACUCCUACGGGAGGCAGCAGUGGGGAAUAUUGCACAAUGGGCGAAAGCCUGAUGCAGCGACGCCGCGUGAGGGAUGACGGCCUUCGGGUUGUAAACCUCUUUCAGCAGGGAAGAAGCGAAAGUGACGGUACCUGCAGAAGAAGCGCCGGCUAACUACGUGCCAGCAGCCGCGGUAAUACGUAGGGCGCAAGCGUUGUCCGGAAUUAUUGGGCGUAAAGAGCUCGUAGGCGGCUUGUCACGUCGGUUGUGAAAGCCCGGGGCUUAACCCCGGGUCUGCAGUCGAUACGGGCAGGCUAGAGUUCGGUAGGGGAGAUCGGAAUUCCUGGUGUAGCGGUGAAAUGCGCAGAUAUCAGGAGGAACACCGGUGGCGAAGGCGGAUCUCUGGGCCGAUACUGACGCUGAGGAGCGAAAGCGUGGGGAGCGAACAGGAUUAGAUACCCUGGUAGUCCACGCCGUAAACGGUGGGCACUAGGUGUGGGCAACAUUCCACGUUGUCCGUGCCGCAGCUAACGCAUUAAGUGCCCCGCCUGGGAGACGCCGACCUUCU
This 920-nucleotide ribosomal RNA is filed under the name Streptomyces sp. Its description in RNAcentral is "bacterial SSU rRNA". It matches the Rfam family "Bacterial small subunit ribosomal RNA". Lineage: Bacteria; Bacillati; Actinomycetota; Actinomycetes; Kitasatosporales; Streptomycetaceae. The record is from RNAcentral.